GAUGAACGCUGGCGGCGUGCCUAAUACAUGCAAGUCGAGCGAACAGACGAGGCGCUUGCUCCUCUGACGUUAGCGGCGAACGGGUGAGUAACACGUGGAUAACCUACCUAUAAUACUGGGAUAACUUCGGGAAACCGGAGCUAAUACCGGAUAACAUGCUGAACCGCAUGGUUCAACAGUGAAAGACGGUCUUGCUGUCACUUAUCGAUGGAUCCGCGCCGCGUUAGCUAGUUGGUAAGGUAACGGCUUACCAAGGCAACGAUGCGUAGCCGACCUGAGAGGGUGAUAGGCCACCCUGGAACGGAGACAGGGUCAAGACGCCUACGGGAGGCAGCAGUAGCGAAUCUUCCGCAAUGGGCGAAAGCAUGACGGAGCAACGCCGAGUGAGUGAAGAAGGUCUUCGGAGCGGAAAACUCGGUUACGAGGUAAGAACAAAUGUGUAAGUAACUAUGCACGUCUUGACGGUACCUAAUCAGAAAGCCACGGCUAACUACGUG
Molecule: ribosomal RNA, 497 nt
Filed under: uncultured bacterium
Lineage: Bacteria
Description: partial 16S ribosomal RNA
Rfam family: Bacterial small subunit ribosomal RNA
Source: RNAcentral